UCCAGAAAAACGAAUAUCCCAUAUCCAACGUUAAGAAAAACACAAAUGUUGCGAGGUCCCAGACGCCGUUGAUUUUGCCGCGAAAACACGCCAUGCUGGCGUCAUCAUCUCUCCUCUCUCCACUCUCUCCCAAAUCUCUCCAGCCCCACCUCCACUUGAAACCCACCACCAUCCUCCCAACCCCCCCAAGACUCAAACCCCCAAAACUCCUCAACUCACUACGCACUCUUUGUUCAAACUCACCUCCCCCGGAGGCCUUGUCAGCGGCUCCUGAUUUUUCGCAAGAUUUCGAUGUCGAAUUGGGCCGCUUGCUGUCGCUACUGCCUGAGGAGAUGCGGUGUAAGAUAAGCCAGCACGUGGAGUAUCAGCACUUGAUUGAGGUUGUUAUGGAUUUGGGGAGGAAGCCUUUGGCGAGAUUUCCGUCCGGGGAUUUCGUGUUGUCGGAAUAUCCUGUUGCGAUUCAGGAUAUUCGGCACGCUACUUCGUUGGUUGGUGACUUUGCCAUCGAUAAUCGAGCAGGAAUUAGCAGAACUUUACACCGUAUUAGUGCCAUUAGAAAUCGGAAGGGUGAAAUAAUAGGUUUGACUUGUCGUGUUGGUCGAGCAAUAUCUGGAAGUGCCAAUCGGUUGACGGAUUUGGUUAGAGAUGGGGCUUCAUUAUUGCUUAUCGGACCUCCUGGAGUAGGAAAAACAACAAUUAUUAGGGACAUAGCAAGGAUGCUUGCAAAUGAUUAUAAUAAACGUGUCAUGAUUGUUGACACUUCAAAUGAAAUUGGCGGGGAUGGUGACAUACCUCAUGCAGGUAUUGGUAAUGCUCGUCGAAUGCAAGUUCCUAACACCGAUGUGCAACAUAAGGUCUUGAUAGAAGCAGUGGAAAAUCAUAUGCCCCAAGUGAUCGUAAUUGAUGAAAUUGGCACAAAACUUGAAGCAGCGGCAGCAAGCACAAUUGCACAACGAGGGAUCCAGUUAGUUGCAACUGCCCAUGGAGUAACCAUAGAGAACUUAGUGAUGAAUCCUUCAUUGGAGAUGCUUGUUGGAGGAAUACAUAGCGUGACACUAGGUGAUGAGGAGGCAAGCAGGAGGGGUGUUCAGAAGACGGUGCAGGAGAGGAAGGGACCAUCAACAUUCACAUGUGGUGUGGAGCUAAUUUCAAAGGGCGAGUUACGAGUUCAUCGCAGUCUAGAAGAAACAGUAGAUGCCAUUCUUUCUGGGCGUUUCCCAAAAUAUGAGGUUCGCACUAUAAAUCAGGCAAUGAGUAACGAGAUAUCGCUAGGACCAUUGCAUCAUGAUUUUGUAGACACAAAAGCUGGACUUGUUUCUGAAGAUAAUCUACAGAGUGGAGAAGAAAUUCUAACCUACAAUCAGUAUAAUGGCAUAGAAGAAAAUUCUCUUGAAGAUGGGCCAACAGUUCACUUGUUUCUUUAUGGGAUUGCGGAGGCUAGUGUGAUACAAGCAUUCAAACAGCUUAGGAUACAGCAUACAGUUAAAUUUACGGACAAUAUAAGCGAAGCAGAUGCACUACUUGCCCUGCAGGCCAAACUAAAAAAGAAUGCACGCCUUCAAGCAGCUGCAAAAUCUUGCGCUACGCCUAUUUAUGUUGCAAAGGCAAGCUCAAUGACACAGUUAACAAAGGCCAUACUGGCACUAAUGACUGAUUAUGAAGAUGGUUUUGAGAAUUUCGCACCUGAAGUUAAUGUGUUGGAGAAAAUGGAUGCAUUAGAGGAGGCAAGGAUGGCAAUUGAGCAACAUGUAAUUCCAAAAGGGGAGCCAGUGGAGCUACUUCCUAGGCCGUCCAACAUCAUGUUGCUACAAAAGGAUCUCAUUCGUAAAUACAAGCUACAGUCUGAGAGAGUUGGUGUGGAUCCAGAUGUAAGACUCCGUAUCCUUCCAUUUCAGGAUGGAGAUACGGAUAGUAGUGGGAGAGAAGAGUCAGAUGAUGAGGCUGAUGAGAUAUUCAGUCUCAAUGGCGAAUCAAAUGGCUCACCUUAUUCCAUAGAUAGACUGCCGCUCCUGCCUGAUUAGUUACUGUAGUUGCUGAACAGGGCUUGACAUUUGCCUCUACAUUGUCAUGGAAGUUCAGAAGUUGAAAGACCAGUUGUUUCGUCGCUGAAGUAGAAUAUGGUGUUUGUGGCCCUUCAGCGACUCGAACUUAUAGAAAUAUUCUAAAUGCUUGACAGAGAAAAGGCGGCCUGGCAUCUCAGCAAAGUGAAACAUGAUCGAAGAAUCCAAUUUUUCGUAGCGAAACACGAUCGAAGAAUCCAAAUUCCUUGUCACAACUCUAAAGGUGGAUGUGAUGUAAUCUGAGAAUACAGAGGAAGGAGUGAGGGUUUUAAUUUGAAAUCUAAUCAGAUUAAUAUUCCUCCAUUUUGAAAUAUAAGCCAUUUUAUUUUUUUGACACAUUUUUAAAUUCGUGUUAAAAAUAUUAUUUUUAAAA
This is an RNA transcript of Daucus carota subsp. sativus, 2433 nucleotides long. It is a transcript of the gene named protein SEEDLING PLASTID DEVELOPMENT 1, with no coding region annotated. NCBI's taxonomy places the organism in Eukaryota, Viridiplantae, Streptophyta, Magnoliopsida, Apiales, Apiaceae. The record is from RefSeq and is a predicted model, not a curated record. The transcript has 11 exons.